AUUGAACGCUGGCGGCAUGCUUUACACAUGCAAGUCGAACGGUAACAGGCCGCACGGUGCUGACGAGUGGCGGCCGGGUGCGUAAUGCAUCGGAACGUGCACAGUCGUGGGGGGUAACUACUCGCAACGGUAGCUAAUACCGCAUACGAUCUAUUGAUGAAAGCGGGGGACCGCAAGGCCUCGCGCGAUUGGAGCGGCCGAUGUCAGAUUAGUUAGUUGGUGGGGUAAAGGCUCACCAAGCCAACGAUUUGUAGCUGGUCUGAGAGGACGACCAGCCACACUGGAACUGAGACACGGCCCAGACUCCUACGGGAGGCAGCAGUGGGGAAUUUUGGACAAAGGGCGCAAGCCUGAUCCAGCAAUGCCGCGUGAAGGAAGAAGGCCUUCGGGUUGUAAAAUGCUUUUGUAAGGAACGAAACGGCUCUGGUUAAUACCCGGGGCUAAUGACGGUACCGUAAGAAUAAGCACCGGCUAACUACGUG
This 482-nucleotide ribosomal RNA is filed under the name uncultured bacterium. RNAcentral's name for it is "partial 16S ribosomal RNA". It matches the Rfam family "Bacterial small subunit ribosomal RNA", at positions 30 to 507 of the family's 1533-position model. The record is from RNAcentral.